GACGACAUAGCAGAGUAGUAAGGCGUGGGACUGCAAAUCCCCUUUUCCAGGUUCAAAUUCGGGUGUCAUUU
Molecule: transfer RNA, 71 nt
Filed under: Amborella trichopoda
Lineage: Eukaryota; Viridiplantae; Streptophyta; Magnoliopsida; Amborellales; Amborellaceae
Rfam family: tRNA
About the family: Transfer RNA (tRNA) molecules are approximately 80 nucleotides in length.
Source: Rfam by way of RNAcentral